AUAAUGAGAAACAAUCCGAGAGUUUUCGAAACAUUGGCUCAAAACGCUCCUGAGUUUUGACCCUCGUAUUGCGUGGAAGGGUAAAAUCAUCUCAUUCCAAUUCUCGGAAGAACGUGAGAGGAGAAAGAUUCGGAAAUUGCUCGCGUCAGUCUUUUGUGGUCCAGCUUUUUUUUGGUCUCCUUCCCGAUCAUUGGAUGAAUGGCAAGUCUCUGUUAUCUCGCAAGUCGAGAUAAAAAGAAGCCCAAAUUUCCAUGAGUCAUGAAGAGCAAGGACAGCAAGUGACCUGAUUUACCCGCACAAAAGAGCCGUGUGCCGAUCCCGAUCUAUCUAUUUGGUUAGCAGGCUUUGACCUUGUUCAAAUAGGCUUUCGUGGUUUUGCGGUGCGAGGAUGCCACCUUGGACAACUCCCUUCUGGUCGUCUUGGAGCUUUGAAUGCUUGUAUGCCAUUACGUGAUAUCGCUUUUUGCCAACCAGUAAAUAAUAAGCCCCCCCCCCUCAUGAAACUGACACAAAGUCAAUUCCCUUCAACAACGAUAUGGUCGUACCCAAACCUUCAGCUUGGAGGGGCAAUAGUCUCGAGUUUGUGGUGGUGAACUCAAAUCUCACCUGGAAUACCAAAUCAGGUUUCUCUCUCCUACUUUGUCGCCAAGACCAAGGAGUGCUUGGGUUGACCCACUCUCGCCAAACUCGAAUCCAACGGAGGACUGUGUUGCCCAUGACUAAACCCUCUGGAUUGUGGAGACACUUUUUUGUUGAAACCAUUUGAACUUUCGAAAAAACCUGAGAUGUUUUAACAACUCUAUUUAAAAAUGGG
Tigriopus californicus is the source of this 814-nucleotide long non-coding RNA. RefSeq lists it as uncharacterized. The record is from RefSeq and is a predicted model, not a curated record. The transcript has 2 exons. NCBI's taxonomy places the organism in Eukaryota, Metazoa, Arthropoda, Copepoda, Harpacticoida, Harpacticidae.